Molecule: ribosomal RNA, 261 nt
Filed under: uncultured Peptoniphilus sp.
Lineage: Bacteria; Bacillati; Bacillota; Tissierellia; Tissierellales; Peptoniphilaceae
Description: partial 16S ribosomal RNA
Rfam family: Bacterial small subunit ribosomal RNA
Source: RNAcentral
CGGCGGACGGGUGAGUAACACGUGAGUAACCUGCCUUUACACAGGGAUAGCCUCGGGAAACCGGGAUUAAAACCUGAUGAAACUAUCAAAUCACAUGAUUAAGAAAGUUAAAACUCCGGUGGUAAAAGAUGGACUCGCGUCCCAUUAGCUAGUUGGUGAAGGUAACGGCCCACCAAGGCAACGAUGGGUAGCCGGCCUGAGAGGGUGAACGGCCACAUUGGAACUGAGAAACGGUCCAAACUCCUACGGGAGGCAGCAGGC